UACGUAGGCAGCAAGCGUUGUUCGGAGUUACUGGGCGUAAAGGGUGCGUAGGCGGUUGUUUAAGUUUGGUGUGAAAUCUCCCGGCUCAACUGGGAGGGUGCGCCGAAUACUGAAUAACUAGAGUGCGGGAGAGGAGAGUGGAAUUCCUGGUGUAGCGGUGAAAUGCGUAGAUAUCAGGAGGAACACCGGUGGUGUAGACGGCUCUCUGGACCGUAACUGACGCUGAGGCACGAAAGCGUGGGUAGCAAACAGG
Molecule: ribosomal RNA, 253 nt
Filed under: uncultured bacterium
Lineage: Bacteria
Description: partial 16S ribosomal RNA
Rfam family: Bacterial small subunit ribosomal RNA
Source: RNAcentral